AUGGAAGCUCCAGUAAUAAGUGUCCAGAACAAUCAGAGGGGUAGAACUUAGAGUCCCCAGGAAUCAGCAUUCUCAAGUGCCUUGGUGGGAAACAGACACCAAAAAAGGACCCCGAGGGCUGUGUGUAAAACCGUAGGAAACAUACCGGCUCAUAAAAUCAGGACACUUGGACAGGAGGGCACAGGUGCCCCUGCUAUGCAGCCUGAAGCAAAGGUUCACCAGCAGGAGAAGCCUAAGGAAUUUUGGGUUACCAAAGCAGACAGAUUGCCUGCUUCAACUUGCAGGAAUCAGGAUUACUGAAAACAGGACGGAAAGUCUUUUAUCCUUCAAGAGGACGGUUCCCAAGAAGUGGUGCAGAGCAUGCUGUGGUUCAUGCCUUCCUUCCCCACCAAGUCCAGUCUUGCCAAAGAGGAGGUUUGCUGGGACCAGGGAGAUGCCGGCCCUCCCCAGUGUCAGCUGCUCCUAAAAACGUUUUCUUGUCUUGGCUACAGACACCUAUCAGGAUGUACCCAGAGCCUCUGUCUACUAUGCCAACAGAAUAUAAUACCUGACAAGAGGAAAUAAAUCUGAUUAUCCAAAGCAGAAGCCAAAACCAGAAGGGUGGUUGCAGGUUCCAGCGGUGAAUAAAUCCAAGGCUGUUCUUUUGCAACAGACAGCCUGGAUGUUUAAGAGGAAGUGAGAAGUCACUCAAGACCACUUCUCUAGCCUCCAAACUGGUCUCUCUGAUCAUCUCUUCUCUGCCCCAGGCAGUAGGGUUACCUUUCCCAAAAGCCCACUUUGAUUGUUAAUAAAAUAAAGUGGUUCUUCAGGCAUCAUAUAUGAUCCAAGACUCUUAGCUUGGCUUUUACAAUUGUCUGAGUUGAAGCAGUAUUUCCAGGACUACCUCCAGCUAAACUCAAUAAACUCAAGGCCAGCAGGUUGACUCAUCUGUUCUCCAAAGAAAAAAAAGAAAAAAGAAAAAAAAAAAAAACUUCCUUUCCACCUUUGUGCUUGCUGCUUGGCACCCACCCCACAUCCAUCACCAUUUAUUACCAUCUUUCAAGAUCCAACUCAACACCACCUCCUCCAGGAAGACCUCCUAAUUCUCCCAGCCUUCAGUGCUCUCUCUGUCUUCGGAACUUCUGCAGGCCCCAUUGUCUCUGCUCCUUGUGGGAUUCUUCUCAUGUGGCCUUGUACUGCAACUGCUUUCUAAAUGGGCUGUACUCUCUUCAGGAGUUAGUGGUUUUGGGGAUUUUCUGCACCAAGAAUUUCCUGAUAUCUCUCAGUACUUAGCAUUACCUUUCACAUGUAAUAUUGACUCACGGCAUUUAGAUUAGAAGAGGCCUGCUAUGGACUGAAUUGCAUCUCUACCCCCCACAAAAAUUCAUAUGUUGAAGCCCUACCCCCCAAUGUGAUGGUAUUUGGAGAGAGAAGCCAGCCAUCUGCAAGCCAGGAAGAGAGCUCUGAUCAGACCCUGCCAUGCUGGCACCCUGGUCUCAGACUGUGCCUUCCAGAACCGUGAAAAUGGAACUCCAAGAAAGAAGUGACUAUUCAGCUCCAGCUCAAAAUAUGUCACAUGAGCUUUUCCUCAAGAAGAUUGUACCUCAGUGUGCAGAAGCUCUCCUGUCCCAUAUUGUCACACAGAAUUAUAAAAAGAUGUAUACUUAAA
Long non-coding RNA from Canis lupus familiaris (dog), 1648 nucleotides. RefSeq lists it as uncharacterized. NCBI's taxonomy places the organism in Eukaryota, Metazoa, Chordata, Mammalia, Carnivora, Canidae. The transcript is spliced from 3 exons. The record is from RefSeq and is a predicted model, not a curated record.